RNAcentral lists this ribosomal RNA (253 nucleotides) under uncultured bacterium. Its description in RNAcentral is "partial 16S ribosomal RNA". It matches the Rfam family "Bacterial small subunit ribosomal RNA", at positions 524 to 776 of the family's 1533-position model. The record is from RNAcentral.
UACGUAGGGGGCGAGCGUUAUCCGGAAUUACUGGGUGUAAAGGGAGCGUAGACGGCGAGGUAAGCCUGAAGUGGAAGCCCGCGGCCCAACCGCGGAACUGCUUUGGGAACUGUUUUGCUGGAGUAUGGGAGGGGUAAGCGGAAUUCCUGGUGUAGCGGUGAAAUGCGUAGAUAUCAGGAGGAACACCGGUGGCGAAGGCGGCUUACUGGACCAUAACUGACGUUGAGGCUCGAAAGCGUGGGGAGCGAACAGG